GCAUUCAUAAGUUAAUACAGGAUUAAACUUUUAGUUUUCCAAACUAAAAAUUGCAAGUUCAAAUCUUGCUGAAUGCA
This 77-nucleotide transfer RNA is filed under the name Pterocladiophila hemisphaerica. RNAcentral's name for it is "tRNA-Gly". It matches the Rfam family "tRNA". From Rfam's summary of the family: Transfer RNA (tRNA) molecules are approximately 80 nucleotides in length. Their secondary structure includes four short double-helical elements and three loops (D, anti-codon, and T loops). Further hydrogen bonds mediate the characteristic L-shaped molecular structure. tRNAs have two regions of fundamental functional importance: the anti-codon, which is responsible for specific mRNA codon recognition, and the 3' end, to which the tRNAs corresponding amino acid is attached (by aminoacyl-tRNA synthetases). tRNAs cope with the degeneracy of the genetic code in two manners: having more than one tRNA (with a specific anti-codon) for a particular amino acid; and 'wobble' base-pairing, i.e. permitting non-standard base-pairing at the 3rd anti-codon position. The record is from RNAcentral. Lineage: Eukaryota; Rhodophyta; Florideophyceae; Gracilariales; Pterocladiophilaceae.